GUGAACGCUGGCGGUAGGCCUAACACAUGCAAGUCGAACGGCAGCACAGUAAGAGCUUGCUCUUACGGGUGGCGAGUGGCGGACGGGUGAGGAAUACAUCGGAAUCUACUUUUUCGUGGGGGAUAACGUAGGGAAACUUACGCUAAUACCGCAUACGACCUACGGGUGAAAGCAGGGGAUCUUCGGACCUUGCGCGAUUGAAUGAGCCGAUGUCGGAUUAGCUAGUUGGCGGGGUAGAGGCCCACCAAGGCGACGAUCCGUAGCUGGUCUGAGAGGAUGAUCAGCCACACUGGAACUGAGACACGGUCCAGACUCCUACGGGAGGCAGCAGUGGGGAAUAUUGGACAAUGGGCGCAAGCCUGAUCCAGCCAUACCGCGUGGGUGAAGAAGGCCUUCGGGUUGUAAAGCCCUUUUGUUGGGAAAGAAAAGCAGCAGGUUAAUACCCCGCUGUUCUGACGGUACCCAAAGAAUAAGCACCGGCUAACUUCGU
RNAcentral lists this ribosomal RNA (490 nucleotides) under uncultured bacterium. RNAcentral's name for it is "partial 16S ribosomal RNA". It matches the Rfam family "Bacterial small subunit ribosomal RNA", at positions 29 to 506 of the family's 1533-position model. The record is from RNAcentral.